RNAcentral lists this ribosomal RNA (497 nucleotides) under uncultured bacterium. RNAcentral describes it as "partial 16S ribosomal RNA". It matches the Rfam family "Bacterial small subunit ribosomal RNA", at positions 28 to 507 of the family's 1533-position model. The record is from RNAcentral.
GAUGAACGCUGGCGGCGUGCCUAAUACAUGCAAGUCGAGCGAACGGACGAGAAGCUUGCUUCUCUGAUGUUAGCGGCGGACGGGUGAGUAACACGUGGAUAACCUACCUAUAAGACUGGGAUAACUUCGGGAAACCGGAGCUAAUACCGGAUAAUAUUUUGAACCGCAUGGUUCAAAAGUGAAAGACGGUCUUGCUGUCACUUAUAGAUGGAUCCGCGCUGCAUUAGCUAGUUGGUAAGGUAACGGCUUACCAAGGCAACGAUGCAUAGCCGACCUGAGAGGGUGAUCGGCCACCCUGGAACUGAGACACGGUCCAGACUCCUACGGGAGGCAGCAGUAGGGAAUCUUCCGCAAUGGGCGAAAGCCUGACGGAGCAACGCCACGUGAGUGAUGAAGGUCUUCGGAUCGUAAAACUCUGUUAUUAGGGAAGAACAUAUGUGUAAGUAACUGUGCACAUCUUGACGGUACCUAAUCAGAAAGCCACGGCUAACUACGUG